This 295-nucleotide long non-coding RNA is filed under the name Terrapene triunguis (Three-toed box turtle). RNAcentral's name for it is "Terrapene carolina triunguis (Three-toed box turtle) lncRNA (ENSTMTG00000010218.1)". The record is from RNAcentral. Lineage: Eukaryota; Metazoa; Chordata; Testudines; Emydidae.
CCCGUCUCGGAGCUUGCUGGCAGUAGGGCACGCGCGGCCUUCUCAUUGGCCCGGAGGACACCCGCUCCAGACCCGGAGACGCAGACACGGGCCACGGGGCUGCCAGAGUCGAGCGCGGGGAAGAGCUCGCCGCCGCCGCUCGGUCACUGGCUGGCCGGGAUCCGGGCAGGCCGCGAGAAUCUUGCUUCACAAUACCUAAGACCAUCAAGAGAGACAAAGGGUCAAGUACCUCACUCCAACUUAUCUAAGAACAGCAAGACAGUCAUCAGGACAAGAGUGAAUAUAUGAAGGAGGA